GGUAAGGCCGCAGCUAGACUAGCUGCUCGAUAGGCCGCAGGUGUAAGGUCGGCAACGACUUCAGCUUAGCGGUACUAAUGGCCGAGGACU
This 90-nucleotide ribosomal RNA is filed under the name Chloroflexota bacterium. RNAcentral describes it as "Chloroflexi bacterium (hot springs metagenome) partial 23S ribosomal RNA". It matches the Rfam family "Bacterial large subunit ribosomal RNA", at positions 2829 to 2912 of the family's 2925-position model. Lineage: Bacteria; Bacillati; Chloroflexota. The record is from RNAcentral.